CCUACGGGUGGCAGCAGUGGGGAAUAUUGCACAAUGGGCGCAAGCCUGAUGCAGCCAUGCCGCGUGUGUGAAGAAGGCCUUCGGGUUGUAAAGCACUUUCAGCGGGGAGGAAGGCGGUGAGGUUAAUAACCUCAUCGAUUGACGUUACCCGCAGAAGAAGCACCGGCUAACUCCGUGCCAGCAGCCGCGGUAAUACGGAGGGUGCAAGCGUUAAUCGGAAUUACUGGGCGUAAAGCGCACGCAGGCGGUCUGUCAAGUCGGAUGUGAAAUCCCCGGGCUCAACCUGGGAACUGCAUUCGAAACUGGCAGGCUAGAGGCUUGUAGAGGGGGGUAGAAUUCCAGGUGUAGCGGUGAAAUGCGUAGAGAUCUGGAGGAAUACCGGUGGCGAAGGCGGCCCCCUGGACAAAGACUGACGCGCAGGUGCGAAAGCGUGGGGAGCAAACAGGAUUAGAUACCCCGGUAGUC
RNAcentral lists this ribosomal RNA (465 nucleotides) under uncultured Klebsiella sp. RNAcentral describes it as "bacterial SSU rRNA". It matches the Rfam family "Bacterial small subunit ribosomal RNA", at positions 338 to 795 of the family's 1533-position model. Lineage: Bacteria; Pseudomonadati; Pseudomonadota; Gammaproteobacteria; Enterobacterales; Enterobacteriaceae. The record is from RNAcentral.